AGUAAUGCAUAGGAAUCUGCCCGGUAGUGGGGGAUAACUUGAGGAAACUCAAGCUAAUACCGCAUACGCCCUACGGGGGAAAGCAGGGGCUCUUCGGACCUUGCGCUAUCGGAUGAGCUUAUGUCGGAUUAGCUGGUUGGUGAGGUAAUGGCUCACCAAGGCGACGAUCCGUAGCUGGUCUGAGAGGAUGAUCAGCCACAUCGGGACUGAGACACGGCCCGAACUCCUACGGGAGGCAGCAGUGGGGAAUAUUGGACAAUGGGCGAAAGCCUGAUCCAGCCAUGCCGCGUGUGUGAAGAAGGCCCUCGGGUUGUAAAGCACUUUCAGUGAGGAAGAAGGCUUGUCGGUUAAUACCCGACAGGAAGGACAUCACUCACAGCGG
Molecule: ribosomal RNA, 382 nt
Filed under: uncultured Halomonas sp.
Lineage: Bacteria; Pseudomonadati; Pseudomonadota; Gammaproteobacteria; Oceanospirillales; Halomonadaceae
Description: bacterial SSU rRNA
Rfam family: Bacterial small subunit ribosomal RNA
Source: RNAcentral